RNAcentral lists this ribosomal RNA (484 nucleotides) under uncultured bacterium. RNAcentral's name for it is "bacterial SSU rRNA". It matches the Rfam family "Bacterial small subunit ribosomal RNA", at positions 28 to 507 of the family's 1533-position model. The record is from RNAcentral.
GACGAACGCUGGCGGCGUGCUUAACACAUGCAAGUCGAACGGAGUUCCUUGGAUAGAGGCUUCGGCCAAUUGAAUUGGAACUUAGUGGCGGACUGGUGAGUAACGCGUGAGGAACCUGCCUUUCAGAGGGGGACAACAGUUGGAAACGACUGCUAAUACCGCAUAACGUAUAGAGAUCGCAUGGUCUUUAUACCAAAGAUUUUAUCGCUGAAAGAUGGCCUCGCGUCUGAUUAGCUGGUUGGUGAGGUAACGGCCCACCAAGGCGACGAUCAGUAGCCGACCUGAGAGGGUGAUCGGCCACAUUGGAACUGAGACACGGUCCAAACUCCUACGGGAGGCAGCAGUGGGGAAUAUUGCACAAUGGGGGAAACCCUGAUGCAGCAACGCCGCGUGAAGGAAGAAGGUCUUCGGAUCGUAAACUUCUGUCCUUGGGGAAGAAACAAAUGACGGUACCCUUGGAGGAAAGCCCCCGGCUAACUACGUG